CCUGCUUGCCCUGUGUAGAUCUGUUGAACGCUGGUCCUAAUUUCCUAGCUUUUGUCCUUGUCUUUUUCCUCCCGAUGUUAUUCUUAUUGACCAGUCGUGGAACAACCUAGGCUGUUAGUAGAACAGUACAUGCUACAUUGUAUCCGAAAAUUGAAUUGAGUCACUAUACAACACUGGCAACUCCUUUUCAUUUUUUUCAGACUAGAUGCAGUUUCAUUAGUACUGUAUAUGGGUAUAUUAUUGCCACUUCGCUGCAUCUAUAUUUUUCUUCUGAGGGAUCGAGGCACUUUUCUAGAGAGUACUUUAAUCUCAAGUUGGUUUCCUGGCUGAUAUUUAUAAUUUAAUAAGAAUUAGCAAAUCCAGCUGUUAGCCAAAUGGGCAUGAAACUGAAAGAUGUGUUGUGUUGGGUGACUUAGGAAGCUGAAAAUUUAUUAAGAAACUUUCUGACAGAUCAAGAAUCUCAUGAUAAUGCAUCCUUCACUGCUCAUCUGAUAAGAUCCUACAUCUAGAUAGAUAGCUACUUGAUUUGUGCGGCUGCGGGUUGCUCUAAUUGCAGCGAAGUUCCGUACAUGAGUUAUUACUCCGGAGAGGAUUCAACCAGCAGGUGGGAUUACGUUGAAGUGAAGGAAGUCCAAGAACUGCAUGGUGUUUAUUACUUCCAUCAUCAGUGAAACGGAGUUUUAAAGGAAUUAAGAGCCUUCCUGAUCUUUCUAGGAUGUCUCCUCUCAAUCUCGGCCACCACUUCUUGUUGGUCGUGAUUAGAUAUAGUGACUCAGCAGCGUAGCUCGAUGGUGUGCUUUGCUAUUCUUGAGGUCCACAAUUCGUUCCUGGGUGCCACUAAAUUUUGAUUCCUAAAUUGAAUCUUCCUUGGUCAGUUGGACCAUUGAUGAACUGCGCUCCUCCUCGGCGCUUGGUGCUGGUCAUCACGUCUUUCCAUGCCAGGGUCAUCUGGUCUUCCCCUGCUCCUCUCUAAUGAUUUUGUGGCUUAUGGUUUCUCGCUCUCGCAUGCGCCCUACACCACCUUCGGUGUCCAGGCUGAAGCUGUGGCCUCUCCUCUAAUCACUCUGGUGGUCUUUCCUGAAGACCCUCAAAGGAAGACGCAUCUCAAGAAUCUCCGCCACCUAUUGCACCGCACCUACUCUCAUGGACUCUGGUCAGUUGCUCAAACACUAUCUACUUCCAGGUUGCACCUGCUCGCUCCUUGUAUUCAUUGCAGUGUCCAGAGCGAUCGAUCUGGCGACACGGCCACACUCCGCACCUAUGCUGCUCCUUGUUGCCAUAUCUGGUCUGCGUCCAAGCUGUCAGUAAUUAUAGACCGUAACAGUAAUGUGUUGAUGCACAGGUUCAGUAGGCUAGGAAAUCUAGACGCUUUUUGAUAUGUUCAUGUUGAUUGAAGGUGCCAACCAUCAGAAUGAUUUUGUUGAUUGAGUCAGGCUGUACUUGUGUACCUUCCACAUUCUUCUUGAGCAUUGGUUUUUGUUGAUUCAGUCUGGACUCUGGACGUACCUCUAGAGAUUUUGACAUACUUAGUGAGCUCUUGUGCCUUAAUGAACCUCGAUGGUCUGGUCACCGUUAUUAGUGCCUCCCCAGCCUCAGGUACAACCGUUUCGCCCUCCCCUCCCUCUUUUACUGCAGAACUCCUAUGUACAAUCGUGGUAUUGAAUUGGUGGUUUUAGUAUUCUGGAGGAAGUGACAGGGUAAAGGGUGUCGAUGUAGAUCGGAGUGCUGUGAGUUUGCAUCAGUAGACCACCCUAUGGUCAUAGUAGGAAUUGAAGUUCAGACAAUCAUUAGUGUUUCUCUCCUGCACAACUCAGCACACAUUAAUAUUUUUAGUCUGCUCAAAACUUACCUGCCCAAAUAAGCUUGAUAUUCAUCUUAAGAAGAACCAAGCAUGCUUCCAUGCCAAAUACAGCCUAAAAUUGGUACAGUAACCGUGGAUCUAUCAUUCCAGUAUUUAGUUGCAUUUUUUCUCUUCGACAACAAACACUCCCAGUCAGGUGGUUUACCAAUAGACAUAAUUGUUCAUUUGUUCUGCAUUCAGGUGGUAUUAUCCCAUGGCCACUGGAGAUGAUUGGGCAAAAAAUAGGGUACAUGUGUCAAUGGUGGGUUGGUGACAAGAAUAGUAGCAUGCAUGUCUUGUUUCUCAAUACGGAUGGAGUGCAAUUAGGACAUGACUAAGAAAUGUAAUACCACACUCUUGAUACUAAAUAACAACAUUGGUAGUUCGUGC
Molecule: RNA transcript, 2230 nt
Organism: Lolium rigidum
Lineage: Eukaryota; Viridiplantae; Streptophyta; Magnoliopsida; Poales; Poaceae
Exons: 4
Source: RefSeq, a predicted model, not a curated record